CCUACGGGAGGCAGCAGUGAGGAAUAUUGGUCAAUGGACGAGAGUCUGAACCAGCCAAGUAGCGUGAAGGAUGACUGCCCUAUGGGUUGUAAACUUCUUUUAUAAAGGAAUAAAACGAGGCACGUGUGCCUUUUUGCAUGUACUUUAUGAAUAAGGAUCGGCUAACGCCGUGCCAGCAGCCGCGGUAAUACGGAGGAUCCGAGCGUUAUCCGGAUUUAUUGGGUUUAAAGGGAGCGUAGAUGGGUUGUUAAGUCAGUUGUAAAAGUUUGCGGCUCAACCGUAAAAUUGCAAUUGAUACUGGCAGUCUUGAGUACAGUUGAGGUAGGCGGAAUUCGUGGUGUAGCGGUAAAUGCUUAGAUAUCACGAAGAACCCCGAUUGCGAAGGCAGCUUACUAAACUGUGACUGACAUUGAUGCUCGAAAGUGUGGGUAUCAAACAGGAUUAGAUACCCGAGUAGUC
This 459-nucleotide ribosomal RNA is filed under the name uncultured bacterium. RNAcentral's name for it is "partial 16S ribosomal RNA". It matches the Rfam family "Bacterial small subunit ribosomal RNA", at positions 338 to 795 of the family's 1533-position model. The record is from RNAcentral.